AGAAAAGCAAAAAGUCAAGUAACUUAAAACCAUUUUGCUUUUUUUCCCUUUGGGAUAAAAAUUCUGUUACAUCAAAUGGUUUUAAGUUACUUGACUUUUUGCUUUUC
This is a non-coding RNA of Xyrichtys novacula (pearly razorfish), 107 nucleotides long. NCBI's taxonomy places the organism in Eukaryota, Metazoa, Chordata, Actinopteri, Labriformes, Labridae. The record is from the annotation of a GenBank genome assembly.